Molecule: ribosomal RNA, 433 nt
Filed under: uncultured bacterium
Lineage: Bacteria
Description: partial 16S ribosomal RNA
Rfam family: Bacterial small subunit ribosomal RNA
Source: RNAcentral
AACGAACGCUGGCGGCAUGCCUAACACAUGCAAGUCGAACGAGACCUUCGGGUCUAGUGGCGCACGGGUGCGUAACGCGUGGGAACCUGCCUUUAGGUUCGGAAUCACUCAGAGAAAUUUGAGCUAAUACCGGUUGAUGUCUUCGGACCAAAGAUCUCUCGCCUUUGGAUGGGCCCGCGUUGGAUUAGCCGGUUGGUGGGGUAAAGGCCUACCAAGGCGACGUUCCAUAGCUGGUCUGAGAGGAGGACCAGCCGCGCUGGGACUGAGACACGGCCCAGACUGGGACGGGACGCAGCAGAGGGGUAUAUUGGGGGAUGGGGGAUAGCCUGAUCAAGCAACGCGGGGGAUGUGAGGAAGGCCGUAGUGUUGUAAAGCCCUUUGACACGAGACGAGAAUGACAGUAACGGGAGAAUAAGCACCGGCUAACUCCGUG